UAAGCCUGCGAAGGUGGCCUGUGAGGGUUGCUGGAGGUAUCAGAAGUGCGAAUGCUGACAUAAGUAACGAUAAAGCGGGUGAAAAGCCCGCUCGCCGGAAGACCAAGGGUUCCUGUCCAACGUUAAUCGGGGCAGGGUGAGUCGACCCCUAAGGCGAGGCCGAAAGGCGUAGUCGAUGGGAAACGGGUUAAUAUUCCCGUACUUGGUGUUACUGCGAAGGGGGGACGGAGAAGGCUAUGUUGGCCGGGCGACGGUUGUCCCGGUUUAAGCGUGUAGGUGUGUGUUCCAGGUAAAUCCGGUUCACUUUAACACUGAGGCGUGACGACGAGGCACUACGGUGCUGAAGCAACAAAUGCCCUGCUUCCAGGAAAAGCCUCUAAGCAUCAGGUAACAUCAAAUCGUACCCCAAACCGACACAGGUGGUCAGGUAGAGAAUACCAAGGCGCUUGAGAGAACUCGGGUGAAGGAACUAGGCAAAAUGGUGCCGUAACUUCGGGAGAAGGCACGCUGACACGUAGGUGAAGUGAUUUACUCACGGAGCUGAAGUCAGUCGAAGAUACCAGCUGGCUGCAACUGUUUAUUAAAAACACAGCACUGUGCAAACACGAAAGUGGACGUAUACGGUGUGACGCCUGCCCGGUGCCGGAAGGUUAAUUGAUGGGGUCAGCGCAAGCGAAGCUCCUGAUCGAAGCCCCGGUAAACGGCGGCCGUAACUAUAACGGUCCUAAGGUAGCGAAAUUCCUUGUCGGGUAAGUUCCGACCUGCACGAAUGGCGUAAUGAUGGCCAGGCUGUCUCCACCCGAGACUCAGUGAAAUUGAACUCGCUGUGAAGAUGCAGUGUACCCGCGGCAAGACGGAAAGACCCCGUGAACCUUUACUAUAGCUUGACACUGAACAUUGAGCCUUGAUGUGUAGGAUAGGUGGGAGGCUUUGAAGUGUGGACGCCAGUCUGCAUGGAGCCGACCUUGAAAUACCACCCUUUAAUGUUUGAUGUUCUAACGUGGACCCGUGAUCCGGGUUGCGGACAGUGUCUGGUGGGUAGUUUGACUGGGGCGGUCUCCUCCUAAAGAGUAACGGAGGAGCACGAAGGUUGGCUAAUCCUGGUCGGACAUCAGGAGGUUAGUGCAAUGGCAUAAGCCAGCUUGACUGCGAGCGUGACGGCGCGAGCAGGUGCGAAAGCAGGUCAUAGUGAUCCGGUGGUUCUGAAUGGAAGGGCCAUCGCUCAACGGAUAAAAGGUACUCCGGGGAUAACAGGCUGAUACCGCCCAAGAGUUCAUAUCGACGGCGGUGUUUGGCACCUCGAUGUCGGCUCAUCACAUCCUGGGGCUGAAGUAGGUCCCAAGGGUAUGGCUGUUCGCCAUUUAAAGUGGUACGCGAGCUGGGUUUAGAACGUCGUGAGACAGUUCGGUCCCUAUCUGCCGUGGGCGCUGGAGAACUGAGGGGGGCUGCUCCUAGUACGAGAGGACCGGAGUGGACGCAUCACUGGUGUUCGGGUUGUCAUGCCAAUGGCACUGCCCGGUAGCUAAAUGCGGAAGAGAUAAGUGCUGAAAGCAUCUAAGCACGAAACUUGCCCCGA
RNAcentral lists this ribosomal RNA (1576 nucleotides) under Salmonella enterica subsp. enterica serovar Rubislaw. Its description in RNAcentral is "partial 23S ribosomal RNA". It matches the Rfam family "Bacterial large subunit ribosomal RNA", at positions 1243 to 2802 of the family's 2925-position model. The record is from RNAcentral. RNAcentral also lists the same sequence under 2 other names. Lineage: Bacteria; Pseudomonadati; Pseudomonadota; Gammaproteobacteria; Enterobacterales; Enterobacteriaceae.